Molecule: non-coding RNA, 1766 nt
Organism: Leptonychotes weddellii (Weddell seal)
Lineage: Eukaryota; Metazoa; Chordata; Mammalia; Carnivora; Phocidae
Source: RefSeq, a predicted model, not a curated record
UUUACAUUUAGUCAAAAUUUCUUUUCCACACAGUGUCUUAAUAUUCAAAAUGACAAGUUGGUUGAGACUAGCACGGUUCCAAGUCCAGAAACCAAAAUGACAGAAAUUGACAACAGUUACCAUUUCUUCCCAUCAAUGCCCUCGUUGGAAAAAGAAGUAGGUAACUGCAGUCCACAUUUUCUCAGUGCUUUCGAGGAUUCCUUUAGCAGCAUUCUCUCCACAGAAGAUUCCAGCCAGCUGACCGUGAACUCAUUAAAUUCAGAUGCCACAAUUAACACAGAUUUUGGUGAUGAAUUUUAUUCUGCUUUCAUAGCAGAACCCAGUAGUAGCAACAGCAUGCCCUCCUCUGCUACUUUAAGCCAGUCACUCUCUGAACUUCUUAAUGGGCCCAUUGAUGUUUCUGAGCUAUCACUUUGUAAAGCCUUCAACCAAAAUCAUCCUGAAAGCACAGAAUUCAAUGAUUCUGACUCUGGCAUUUCACUCAACACAAGUCCUGGCAUGGCAUCACCAGAACACUCGGCGGAAUCUUCUGUCUAUGGAGACACGCCACUUGGCUUCAGUGAUUCUGAAAUGGAAGAGAUAGAUAGUGCUCCUGGAAGUGUCAAACAGAAUGGUCCUAAAACACCGCCAGUACAGUCUGCCGGAGAUACAGCCCAACCCCUGUCACCAUCUCCAGGGCACAGCGCUCCAGCGCGGGAUGCCCAGCGCGAAAACACACCAAAGAAAGAAUUGCCUGUGAGCCCUGGUCAUCGAAAAACCCCAUUCACAAAAGACAAACAUUCAAGCCGCUUGGAGGCUCAUCUCACGAGAGAUGAGCUAAGGGCAAAAGCUCUCCAUAUCCCAUUCCCUGUUGAAAAAAUCAUUAACCUCCCUGUUGAUGACUUCAAUGAAAUGAUGUCCAAGGAGCAGUUCAGUGAGGCUCAACUGGCAUUAAUUCGAGAUAUACGCAGGAGGGGUAAGAAUAAAGUGGCUGCUCAGAAUUGCAGAAAAAGAAAACUGGAAAAUAUAGUGGAACUGGAACAAGAUUUGGAUCAUUUAAAAGAUGAAAAAGAAAAAUUGCUUAGAGAAAAAGGGGAGAAUGACAAAAGCCUCCAUCUACUGAAAAAACAACUCAGCACCUUGUAUCUCGAAGUCUUCAGCAUGCUCCGUGAUGAAGAUGGAAAACCUUACUCUCCUAGUGAAUACUCCCUGCAGCAAACAAGAGAUGGCAAUGUAUUCCUUGUGCCCAAAAGUAAGAAGCCAGAUACUAAGAAAAACUAGAUUUGGGAAGAUCUGACCUUUUUCUGAGCUAGUGGGUUGUUUGUUUUGGGGAUUGUUUUUUGUUUUUUUGUACUGUUAUACUAAAAGCUCCUACUGUGAUGUGAAAUGCAAAAAUAUACUUUAUAAGUAAUUCUAUGCAAAAUUAUAGUCAAAACUAGUAUAGAAGAUAAUACAAACUUUAAAAAGCAUUAAAAUAAGUCAUCAGUAUGCUGAAUCAGUAGUUUUCACUUUAACUGCAAACUUAAUUUCUUAGAACACCAUUUGGGCUAGUUUCUGUAUAAGUGUAAAUACUACAAAAACUUAUUUAUACUGGUCUUAUCUCAUUUGUUACGUUCAUUUAUAUGGUAUCUGGCUAAGAGCAAAUUGUUGCAAAACUAACCACUGUGUACUUUUUUAUAAAUACUGUAUGAACAAAAAAGGCAUUUUUUUAUAUUAAAUUGUUUAGCUCUGGCAAAAACCAAUUUAGUUAAAAAGCUGGUACUAAUAAAGGAGUAUUAUGACUGUUA